Molecule: unclassified non-coding RNA, 2435 nt
Filed under: Hevea brasiliensis (rubber tree)
Lineage: Eukaryota; Viridiplantae; Streptophyta; Magnoliopsida; Malpighiales; Euphorbiaceae
Source: RNAcentral
CACAAUUUCACAGUCUUCUCCUUCUCUUUCUCCUCCUCCUCCUAUUCUUCACCUUCAUUUCCUUAAACUAACACGCUCUAAUUCCAAUCCAAUCUAAACCAACCCAUUGUCUUCCGUCGGUUGAUACAGUUUUCAGAUCUAAUCAAUUCAAUCGGAGACGAGAUUCUGACCCGAUCGCACCUUACUUUGUUUCAUUGGUACACGCUAAGAGAGAUAGAACGAUGUCGUGUUCUUCUUCGUCAGGUUCUGAAUCCGAGGACGAUGAGGGAAUCGAUUCUUACAGGAAAGGUGGUUAUCAUGCCGUUAGAGUUGGCGAUCAGUUCGCUGGUGGCCGUUAUAUCGCCCAGGGGAAGCUUGGCUGGGGCCAGUUCUCCACAGUUUGGCUCGCUUAUGAUACUCAAUCCUCUAAUUAUGUUGCACUUAAAAUCCAGAAAAGUGCAUCACAAUUUGCUCAAGCUGCCCUUCACGAAAUUGAAGUCCUCUCAUCUAUAGCUAAUGGUGAUCCCUCCAAUUCGAAAUGUGUCGUGCGAUUGAUCGACCACUUCAAGCAUGCAGGACCAAAUGGGCACCAUCACUGCAUGGUCCUUGAAUUUCUUGGUGACAGCUUGCUGCGGCUAAUCAGGCAUAGUCGUUACAAAGGUCUAGAAUUGAAUAAAGUUAGAGAGAUAUGCAAAUGCAUUUUGAUAGGCCUGGAUUACUUGCAUAGAGAACUCUGUUUGAUCCACAAUGAUCUAAAACCUGAAAAUAUUCUUCUCUAUUCCACUAUUGAUCCUGCCAAGGAUCCAAUUAGAUCUGGGCUCACACCAAUUCUUCAAAGGCCUGAAGGUAGCCUUAAUGGUGGAUCUACAAUGAAUAUCAUUGAGAAGAAGCUGAAAAGGAGAGCAAAGAGGGCAAUUGCUAAGAUUUCAGAAAGAAGAGCUUCAAUGGGAGGAGCUACGGAAAAACCAAAGAAAUGCUUGGAUGGGGUUGAUGUCAGGUGCAAGGUUGUUGAUUUUGGAAAUGCAUGCUGGGCUGAUAAGCAGUUUGCAGAAGAAAUUCAAACGAGGCAGUAUAGAGCUCCUGAAGUCAUUCUGCGGUCUGGAUAUUCCUUCUCUGUUGAUAUGUGGUCAUUUGCUUGCACUGCUUUUGAGCUUGCUACAGGUGACAUGAUGUUUGCUCCCAAGGGUGGACAGGGUUUUAGUGAGGAUGAGGUAGGAUCUAUGCUCUAGCAUUGUCAGAAAUCAUGAUUAUUCUAAUAAUUUAUAUUUAUUUUCUUAUCUUUAAAUGCAAUUUAUAUGUGAUAUGGUGUUAGUUGUAGAAAAUAGCAAAUUAAGAAGACUAUGGUUAUGGAAGGUAGGGAAGAAAGAAAUGAAAAUUGUUACCAUGCAGAGAAUUAUUAUGGUAAAUGAUGUUUGCUUGAUUUAUGCCUUUCUUUAUCGUUUUAUCCAUCUUUGCAGCAAGAUUGACAAAUCCUAUUUUUCCUUUCAUUUUUAACAGUUUUUGUGAUGGAAAAAUAUAAAGAAAAGCAGAUGGUUGGUGGGAAGUUGACUUACACCUGGUUUAGCUUUUCUUUCUUUUUCUAGAACUCAAUUAAAUUAAUGAGAUAUUUCUGGAGUAGAUUUUGGCUUGUCUAGGGAGAGAGAUGUUUGAGUAAACCUGGUUUUUAAUAUAGACUGAUUUUGAAUUUCUAUAGAUGAUCGAUGUUCACCUUCAUCUUUAAUUAAUUACAUUUGAAUUAUCUGCAAAAUGAAACAUGUAGAAUCAUAGGUUGUAUUAUAGACUUAUCGUGAUUCUUGACAUGACUGGUUGAUUUGUCUUGCUCUUAGUAUGCCAAUUUUGUUGUCACCUAACCAUGUUUGUGUGGUAAUGCCAAAUCUCUGAGCUUGUACCUACAUGGUGUAAUAAUGCGAGUGUAUUUUGGUUUUAGGAUCACCUUGCUCUAAUGAUGGAACUCCUUGGAAAGAUGCCCCGAAAGGUAUGGUCAUAAUAUUUUAAUGGCUUCCAAUAUUAAUUCAACUUUUUGUUGCCCAUUUACCUCUUAGUUCUUGCAUAAGCAGAUAGCCGUAGGAGGAGCGCGAUCCAAGGAUUUCUUCGAUAGGUAUGGAGAUCUAAAGAGGAUUCGAAGGCUGAAGUUUUGGCCACUUGAUCGCUUGUUGGUUGAUAAAUACAAAUUUUCCGAGAAUGAAGCUCGGGAGUUUGCAGAAUUUCUUUGUCCCCUUCUCGAUUUUAUACCAGAGAAGCGGCCCACUGCUCAGCAGUGCCUGCAACACCCUUGGCUCAAUCUCAGAACUUCUGCACAGAUUGAGAUGAAAAAAGGUGAUAUAGAAAAAUUGCAUGUAGGGAUGAGCAACCUUCAACUAAAGGUGGGCAAGUGAAGAAGGGAUCCAUGGUCUUUGCACCAUUUUCAAGUCCCUCCCUCUACCUAUAUGGAUAUUGAUUGUAUUUUUUUGGUUUUC